Molecule: ribosomal RNA, 395 nt
Filed under: uncultured bacterium
Lineage: Bacteria
Description: partial 16S ribosomal RNA
Rfam family: Bacterial small subunit ribosomal RNA
Source: RNAcentral
CCUACGGGAGGCUGCAGUGAGGAAUAUUGGUCAAUGGGCGCGAGCCUGAACCAGCCAAGUAGCGUGAAGGAUGACUGCCCUACGGGUUGUAAACCUCUUUUAUAAAGGAAUAAGGUGAAGCACGUGUCCCUUUGUGAUUGUACCUUAUGAAUAAGGAUCGGCUAACUCCGUGCCAGCAGCCGCGGUAAUACGGAGGAUGCGAGCGUUAUCCGGAUUUAUUGGGUUUAAAGGGAGCGUAGGUGGGGUGUUAAGUCAGUUGUGAAAGUUUGCGGCUCAACCGGAGGAUUGCAGUUGAUACUGGGAGCCUUGAGUGCAGUAGAGGUAGGCGGAAUGCGUGGUGUAGCGGUGAAAUGCUUAGAUAUCACGAAGAACUCCGAUUGCGAAGGCAGCCUACU